AGUACAAGUCAGCUGGAUGGGAGGCAACUCUGUUUCUCAACCACUUGAAGUCUAACUUAUAAUUGCCAACUUAUUACUUCCAAAGGGUGUCCACCCCAUCAUGAGGGCAGGUGAACACCUGGACCAGAAACUGGAAAUGUGUGCUCUAAUAUCUCUCAAACCAGAGGUAGAAAGGGCCAGAGCGGGCAUGGACCAGAACAUCCAACUGCAUUCUCCUCUCCCCAGGUGGACAGCUCUGAUGACCAUCCUUUCCCGCAUCCCCCUCAGCAUUUAGCAGCUUUCCUGGUUGAAUCUACGUCCUGGCCGGCAUCUCUCUCAGGUGUGUUCAUGCCUAUUUACUGGCAGGUCUGAUAUGUGCUGAAGGAGAGUGGACCAAGCUCGGUGGAUACAUU
Molecule: long non-coding RNA, 392 nt
Organism: Bos indicus x Bos taurus (hybrid cattle)
Lineage: Eukaryota; Metazoa; Chordata; Mammalia; Artiodactyla; Bovidae
Source: Ensembl